Callithrix jacchus (white-tufted-ear marmoset) is the source of this 603-nucleotide long non-coding RNA. RefSeq lists it as uncharacterized. Lineage: Eukaryota; Metazoa; Chordata; Mammalia; Primates; Cebidae. The record is from RefSeq and is a predicted model, not a curated record.
CCUUGAAGGCUAGCAUGCAAGUGCUGUUGGCUAGCUCGCAAGGACAGCAACCUGCCUCCACCAACAGAAAGCAGCCCCGCACAUGCGUUCACGCACGGUGUCUUGUUGUGUGCCUAAGAAUGGGUUAAUGCAAGUCAAACACCUUCAAGACCAGCAGGAGCCUCUCACACUCCAUCCACACCUUCACUACAGGGAAUGGUUGAUUACAAGAUGAAAAAACGCAUCUUGCAAGAAUGGGAGCCACCACUUACGGGCAAGCUGCUUUUGACUAGAGAGCAAACAAAGAACCUGCUCAAGUUGGCCUGUGCUGAAGAACCUGCAGCCUGGACUCAGCUGUCCUGAGAGCUGACGGAACCCCACUGCUGAGUGGUCCUGGGAACCCCAUCUCCUGCCCUGUGCACUCAAGCUGGGAGACUGAGGCUUAAGCUUCUGGCCGUGCUGGGAGGUGAGAAGGCUCUGACCCAGGGUGAACUCCAGAGAAUGCACCUUCUCUGUGUAAGCACUGGGUACACAAUGCAUAGGAAUUAUCAAGAUGUGUUUAUGUGUGUGCAUAUAUUUUUAGGAGUUUUAAAAAUAUGACAAUAUCAAUUCAUUAAACUUGGA